This 695-nucleotide ribosomal RNA is filed under the name uncultured bacterium. RNAcentral describes it as "bacterial SSU rRNA". It matches the Rfam family "Bacterial small subunit ribosomal RNA", at positions 109 to 802 of the family's 1533-position model. The record is from RNAcentral.
CGUAACGCGUAUGCAAUCUACCUUUUACAGAGGGAUAGCCCAGAGAAAUUUGGAUUAAUACCUCAUAGUAUUACGACUCGGCAUCGAGAUGUAAUUAAAGUCACAACGGUAAAAGAUGAGCAUGCGUCCCAUUAGCUAGUUGGUAAGGUAACGGCUUACCAAGGCAACGAUGGGUAGGGGUCCUGAGAGGGAGAUCCCCCACACUGGUACUGAGACACGGACCAGACUCCUACGGGAGGCAGCAGUGAGGAAUAUUGGUCAAUGGGCGCAAGCCUGAACCAGCCAUGCCGCGUGCAGGAUGAAGCAUCUAUGGUGUGUAAACUGCUUUUGUACGAGAAGAAACACUCCUACGUGUAGGAGCUUGACGGUAUCGUAAGAAUAAGGACCGGCUAACUCCGUGCCAGCAGCCGCGGUAAUACGGAGGGUCCAAGCGUUAUCCGGAAUCAUUGGGUUUAAAGGGUCCGUAGGCGGUUUAGUAAGUCAGUGGUGAAAGCCCAUCGCUCAACGGUGGAACGGCCAUUGAUACUGCUAAACUUGAAUUAUUGGGAAGUAACUAGAAUAUGUAGUGUAGCGGUGAAAUGCUUAGAGAUUACAUGGAAUACCAAUUGCGAAGGCAGGUUACUUACAAUAUAUUGACGCUGAUGGACGAAAGCGUGGGGAGCGAACAGGAUUAGAUACCCUGGUAGUCCACGCCG